UGGGGAAUAUUGCACAAUGGGCGCAAGCCUGAUGCAGCAACGCCGCGUGAGGGAUGACGGCCUUCGGGUUGUAAACCUCUUUUAGUAGGGAAGAAGCGAAAGUGACGGUACCUGCAGAAAAGGCACCGGCUAACUACGUGCCAGCAGCCGCGGUAAUACGUAGGGUGCAAGCGUUGUCCGGAAUUAUUGGGCGUAAAGAGCUCGUAGGCGGCUUGUCGCGUCUGCUGUGAAAUCCCGGAGCUCAACUCCGGGCCUGCAGUGGGUACGGGCAAGCUAGAGUGCGGUAGGGGAGAUUGGAAUUCCUGGUGUAGCGGUGGAAUGCGCAGAUAUCAGGAGGAACACCGAUGGCGAAGGCAGAUCUCUGGGCCGUAACUGACGCUGAGGAGCGAAAGCAUGGGGAGCGAACA
This 407-nucleotide ribosomal RNA is filed under the name uncultured prokaryote. Its description in RNAcentral is "bacterial SSU rRNA". It matches the Rfam family "Bacterial small subunit ribosomal RNA", at positions 355 to 774 of the family's 1533-position model. The record is from RNAcentral.